Molecule: ribosomal RNA, 465 nt
Filed under: uncultured bacterium
Lineage: Bacteria
Description: bacterial SSU rRNA
Rfam family: Bacterial small subunit ribosomal RNA
Source: RNAcentral
ACGAUUAAAGCUCCCUUCGGGGAGUGCAUAAAGUGGCGCACGGGUGAGUAACACGUAAGUAAUCUGCCUUCGAGUGGGGAAUAACCCGGGGAAACCCGAGCUAAUACCGCAUAAUGCAGCGGCACCUAAUGGUGACAGUUGUUAAAGGAGCAAUCCGCUUGAAGAGGAGCUUGCGGCAGAUUAGCUUGUUGGUAAGGUAAUGGCUUACCAAGGCUACGAUCUGUAUCCGGUCUAAGAGGACGGUCGGACACACUGACACUGAAUAACGGGUCAGACUCCUACGGGAAGCAGCAGUCGGGAAUUUUGGGCAAUGGGGGAAACCCUGACCCAGCAACGCCGCGUGAAGGAUGAAGUAUUUUGGUAUGUAAACUUCGAAAGAAUAGGAAGAAUUAAUGACGGUACUAUUUAUAAGGUCCGGCUAACUACGUGCCAGCAGCCGCGGUAAUACGUAGGGACCAAGCGUUG